GGUUUGAUCCUGGCUCAGAUUGAACGCUGGCGGGAUGCUUUACACAUGCAAGUCGAACGGCAGCACGGACUUCGGUCUGGUGGCGAGUGGCGAACGGGUGAGCAAUGUAUCGGAACGUGCCUGGCGGGGAUAACUACGCGAAAGCGUAGCUAAUACCGCAUACGCCCUUCGGGAAAGCGGGGGGACCUUCGGGCCUCGCACCAGAGCGGCUGAUAUCGGAUUACGGUUGCGGGGCAACGGCUCACCAAGGCGACGAUCCGUAGCUGGUUUGAGAGGACGACCAGCCACACUGGGACUGAGACACGGCCCAGACUCCUACGGGAGGCAGCAGUGGAAUUUUGACAAUGGGGGAAACCCUGAUCCAGCCAUCCCGCGUGUGCGAUGAAGGCCUUCGUCGUAAAGCACUUUUGGCAGGAAAGAAACGGCACGGGAUAAUACCCCGUGCAACUGACGGUACUCUGCAGAAUAAGCACCGGCUAACUACGUGCCAGCAGCCGCGGUAAUACGUAGGGUGCAAGCGUUAAUCGGAAUUACUGGGCGUAAGCGUGCGCAGGCGGUUCGGAAAGAAAGAUGGAAAUCCCAGUAUUUAACUUUGGAACUGCAUUUUUAACUACCGAGCUAGAGGUCAGAGGGAGGUGGAAUUCCGCGUGUAGCAGUGAAAUGCAGAUAUGCGGAGGAACACCGAUGGCGAAGGCAGCCUCUGGGAUAACACUGACGCUCAUGCACGAAAGCGUGGGGAGCAAACAGGGAUUAGAUACCCUGGUAGUCCACGUCUCUAAACGAUGUCAACUAGCUGUUAAAGCUCGGGCUCGGUAGCGCAGCUAACGCGUGAAGUUGACCGCCUGGGGAGUACGGUCGCAAGAUUAAAACUCAAAGGAAUUGGGACGGGGACCCGCACAAGCGGUGGAUGAUGUGGAUUAAUUCGAUGCAACGCGAAAAACCUUACCUACCCUUGACAUGUCUGGAAUGCCGGAAGAGAUUUGGCAGUGCUCGCAAGAGAACCGAACACAGGUGCUGCAUGGCUGUCGUCAGCUCGUGUCGUGAGAUGUUGGGUUAAGUCCCGCAACGAGCGCAACCCUUGUCAUUAGUUGCUACGAAAGGGCACUCUAAUGAGACUGCCGGUGACAAACCGGAGGAAGGGGAUGACGUCAAGUCCUCAUGGCCCUUAUGGGUAGGGCUUCACACGUCAUACAAUGGUCGGGACAGGUGGUCGCCAACCCGCGAGGGGGAGCCAAUCCCAGAAACCCGAUCGUAGUCCGAUCGCAGUCUGCAACUCGACUGCGUGAAGUCGGAAUCGCUAGUAAUCGCGGAUCAGCAUGUCGCGGUGAAUACGUUCCCGGGUCUUGUACACACCGCCCGUCACACCAUGGGGAGUGGGUUUACCAGAAGUAGUUAGCCUAACCGCAAGGGGGGCGAUUACCACGGUAGGAUUCAUGACUGGGGUGAAGUCGUAACAAGGUAA
Molecule: ribosomal RNA, 1462 nt
Filed under: uncultured Bordetella sp.
Lineage: Bacteria; Pseudomonadati; Pseudomonadota; Betaproteobacteria; Burkholderiales; Alcaligenaceae
Description: partial 16S-23S ribosomal RNA intergenic spacer
Rfam family: Bacterial small subunit ribosomal RNA
Source: RNAcentral